This 1513-nucleotide long non-coding RNA is filed under the name Suricata suricatta (meerkat). Its description in RNAcentral is "lncRNA (ENSSSUG00005018401.1)". The record is from RNAcentral. Lineage: Eukaryota; Metazoa; Chordata; Mammalia; Carnivora; Herpestidae.
UUGGCAUGUGGAUUAUUUGAGCUGAAGGCAGUUAAGUCCCAAAAUGUUGAGGAAAAGCUUUUUACCUCUCCUCUAACUGCCUAGAAGAAUUUAGACAGGGGACCUGGCCCAGAAAGAGAGUUAUUACCAGAUAUAAUUUUUUUUCUUAAUCUGAGAGGCUCGUCUGCAUGGUAUGGCCAACAUCUGAUCCCCAGACAUCUGCUCUUCUGUGAAUUGACCUCCUGCCCUUUGGGGCCCCAGCCCUGUCCCUUUCCUCAGCCCAGGACAACAUGUGAGCCUCAACUGCUGGCUGCCUUGGAGUCUUACGUUUUUGUGGGACUCCCGUAUGGAUGUAAUUACAUUUGUUUUUCUCCUGUUAAUCUGCCUUAUGUUAAUUUCAUCAUUAGACCAGCCAAGGAACCCAGAAGGGAAGGAAGGAAAACGUUCCACCUGGACCACAAGGAAAUGGAGGCCCAGCACCGUGGUGCCCUCAGGUCUUUGUAGUUUCCUGUUAAUUUAAUACCUGAACCUUCGCCAUGUAAAUAGCACAGGUAAAGAUAAACUUCGCUGGCCCUGGACUCUGACCUUCAACACCCACCUCCUGUCUGAUUCGUCUUCCAUCCCACCGCUGGAAGGUUUAAAAAUGUUACGUGGAAAUUUAAAGCCAAAGAAUAAAUAGAAUAAAUGGCUGAAGGCAGAGCAUGUUGGUUGCACACAAGCCUAACAAGACAGUUCAAAAAUAAGGGCAAUGCUCUAGUCGGCUGCUGUGUCUGGCCCUCUUCCUCAAAGAGGUGACCUAGAUGGGGUCCAUUCCAUUAGGUAGGACUCCCACAGGCUGUCAUCUCGAAGCUUCUAGGCACCCAGGCUGUGCUUUGCUGGCCCUGCACUGCACACUUACUUAGACAAGAGCGAUUUAAACGAGUGAUUUAAUCCCUCUUACUCACUAUUGUUGAGCACCCCCGUCUUUAUUUCUUUUCCUGUUGGAGUGCUUCCUCUAACCGUGUUUUCAAAGGGUGGCUAUUUGCGAGAAAUCUUCCGAUCCUUCAAAUACCUGAUAAUUUAGCUAGAAAUCAAAACCUAGCUUCAAAGUUUUUUCUCUUUGAUACUUUAAAAAUGUGAUUCAGCUAUCAUCUUAAAUCCAGUGUUGCCGUGAGGAAAUCUGAAGUUCAAUCUGAUGUUUGUUCCUUCCUUAGCCCUCUGCUAUCUGGGUGCCUGGAAUACAGAUGUGAUGGCUGGUGCGGUCGCUGCAAGUUUGGAUUAUGAGGAUGAGAUGGAGGAAUAGUGACCUGGAUUGAAACCUGAGUCCUCAAGAACUAGUGAUACCAAGCUACUAUGUUGGCCAUGAAUGGUCCACCCCCACACUUCUACAAAAGGGAAAAAUAAACUUCCAUUGUGCUUGGAGUCCAUAUUAUCAGUAGCUAUUAAUUGGAGUCUGGACCAUUAGUAACUGAAAUGAAUCAUAAUUCAUGUCUUGAUUAAAUCUGCUUUAUCUAUACUUUCCAGAAGUCAUUUCCCAGUGAUUGAUAUUCCCCUG